Long non-coding RNA from Trematomus bernacchii (emerald rockcod), 663 nucleotides. RefSeq lists it as uncharacterized. The transcript has 9 exons. The record is from RefSeq and is a predicted model, not a curated record. Lineage: Eukaryota; Metazoa; Chordata; Actinopteri; Perciformes; Nototheniidae.
GUUGGUAUAAAAAGCAGUGAGCAGCGCUUCUUCAAUCACUUCCUCCUGCAAACGGCGCAGAGAUGACAACAUCUCCGAAACAAACGGUUUAACAUGUGUGUCUCUGGGUGCUGCUUCAUCUCUGAGCUGAUGGCUGAAGUCCACACCAGCGCCGGGGAGAAAUGACCCUCCAGGCCACCGUAGUGAAGCUGCUGAUCAUGAAGGAUGAUGGGAUGAAAUCAUCGCCAAGCAGAAAUGAUUAACUUCGAUAUAGGGUGGAGUCGGUGCUCGUCGUGCUGUGGUCGACCUGCUGGAGCUGGCUAUUCCCUGGUAUGUAUGUUUGAUGUGAUGCAGGUAACCGGAUUAAAUCCUCCACAGAUGCUGAUCCACGUCUGUGAACCUGGUUUGAUGUGAUGCAGUGAAACUGAACUCCUCCAGAGAUGCUGAUCCACGUCUGUGAACCUGGGUGGAGUCGGUGUUCGUUGUGCUGUGGUCGACCUGCUGGAGCUGGCUAUUCCCUGGUUUAAUGUGAUGCAGUGAAACUGAUGAACUCCUCCAGAGAUGCUGAUCCACGUCUGUGAACCUGGUGGAAGAAACGACCAGGAGCCGAGGAUUCGUUUACCCCACAAUCUUUAUUGACUGUUUUUGUUGUUGACAAAGAAAUAAAGAUCACUGUUGACUAAA